Molecule: long non-coding RNA, 2887 nt
Filed under: Bos grunniens (domestic yak)
Lineage: Eukaryota; Metazoa; Chordata; Mammalia; Artiodactyla; Bovidae
Description: lncRNA (ENSBGRG00000014038.1)
Source: RNAcentral
AUGUCUGGGCUCCCUGGGCGCUCUGCGGGCGUCGUCAACCCUGACCCUCAAGCCAGAGGGUCACUACUCUGUCUGCCAUCCGCCCCGUGCAUCCCAAGCGGCGACACUCGAUUCGUGUCCCCGGGAGACCCUCAGCAGAGAAACCUGCUGCUCCUGGAGCGUCUCAGCAGAGCGUCCAAAAGCAGACUCACUACUGUUGUCCUUGCGUGUCCCGCAGAUCCUGGCCAACCUAGAGCAGGGCCUGGCGGAGGACGGGACCACGAGCAGCAUCGCGCAGGAGAACAGGCAAGGUCAGUGCCGCACGUGUCCCCGGGCCGGCCCAGGCCUGCUCCGGGCCUCAGCCUCUGUCCGUCUCGCCUCUCCCACGCGCAUCUCCUCGCUGCUUUCCUCCCAGAACGAGCAUCCUUUCUAGGAGGUUCUUACCUCAGAGUUGCCCCUUGGUCCUGGCAGCAGGAGGAGGGUCCUCCCCGGGCCUGUUCUGCCCCGGCCUCUCCACCCUCCCACCCCACAUCUCCUCUCCCGCCAGCCCUCGGAGCCUGGCGAGGCAGCUGGGUUAGGAACCGAUGCUUCCACGUAAGCGGGUGGGACACCCAGGCCUCGGGCAGGCAGGCCGCUGUCACCAGGGCUGCGGUGCUGACGCCCCUGUGUGACUGUCCACAGCCCUACAGCGGGGAGCCCCGCCCAUCCACAACCCGCCGGGGUGGCCCCGCUACACGACGGGCUCAUCUCCUGGUCCAGUCAGGCUCUGUCCCCCUGAAGCUGGGCGGCCGUCGAGAGCACAGCCCGAGGAACGCGCCAAGGUGCACAGGAAGCCGUGGCCAGGGCAGGGCCACAGACGUGGGGGCUGCAUCCGUCUGUGGCUGGGCUGCUGGCCACGUCCCUGGGCGCUCACCCCUCCUCUUUUUCAGCCUCCGUGCAGCUGUGGCGGUCCCGCCUGGGCCGCGUGACCUGCUCCAUGGCCAACUGCCUGCUGCUCAUGAAGGACUACGUGCUGGCCGUGGACGCGUACCGCGCGGUCGUCCAGUUCCACCCAGAGCAGGAGCCCCAGGUGCUGAGCUGCAUCGGCCGCAUCUUUCUGCAGGUGCGAGGGGUGGGGGUCGGGGGCUGCACCUCAGCGCGUCCUGUGGGUCUGAGAAAGCGAGGAAGGGUGUCAAGUCAGACGUCUGUUGCUGUCAGAAGGCGGUUUCUUUUUUGGUCCUGGUUUGACUGUACUGAGUAUCAAGCCUCCAGCUUCGAGGUGAUGGGGAGGCCAGUCGCUACACGUCAGUGUACGUAGAUUUCCGUCAGGCAGUGCACAGACGGGUGGCUGAGGCCUUGCCCUGUUGCUGUAGAAACGUGUUGAUGCGAGGAGCCGGCCACCGUGGGCUCCUCUCCCGCCCCAGACCCCCCAGGGCCCCUGGCACCCUCGUCCCUGGGAAGGAGGGGAGAAGCAGGUGUGGGAGCGUCUUCAGUUUCCACCACUGAAACACUCAGGGCGCAGCCGCCAAAACCCUGCGCUCCGGGGGAGGGCCCUAGCUCUUUGCAGCUGAGGCUGGUCUGGGUUUGUGUGUGCAUGUGCAUGCGUACACGUGCGUGCGUGUGUGUGUGCAUGCGUACGUGCGUGCGUGUGUGUGCGUACAUGUGCAUGCGUACACGUGCGUGUGUGUGCGUGCGUGUGCGUGUGCGCCCACUGUUCUCAGGAGCACUUGGUAUCUGUUUUCUGUCUUCAUAGAAGUGGCUUGCUUUUUCUCUCUCUGUCCUCAGAUAAUUCUAGAAUUAUCUGUUGCUGGAAGAUAUGAAGAAUUGACUCAAAGGCCUGAGCCACACUCCUGGGGCUUGUGGGACAAUUUAUCAACAGCUUUAGUGUUCCAUGUGUGGGAGAGGUUUCUUCUCUGUUUCUGGGAUCAAUUUUGGCAGUUUAGAGUGCCAAAAUAGAGAUCACAUGUCCGCUCCGUGUGUCCGCGUGCAUUUGCUUGGAGUCCUGCAAAGUCGUCCUCUCCCGUAAUCGCUUCAGUCUGUUGCCCAAGGCGCUUCUCCUCUCGCCUGUGAUCCUGCUCCACUUACCUCUCUUGUCCUUGACUGCUUCUUCCAUUUCUUAUCUCAUGUUUUUCUUCACAUAACUAGUUUGGGCUUGUUUGUUUGCUUACUAGAUAUAUCACAGUGCUUUUUAUUAUUUGCCUUUUUAAUUGCCUUUUUAUGUACAACUUAAUCACUCAGUUUCUGACAUGUGGACAGAUGUUGACAUCCUGCUGUGUCCUGAAUGGCUUUUGCGUUUUGUUUUUUAAUGAAAAAUGACAGUUAGUAAGUGGUCACCUAAGUUUCACCCCGCCUGACACGUCCCCACCUGACACUGGGGAACUGUAUGUGUGGGUAUAGGUCUAACAUCGUCACCUGAAUUGACUGCUUCAUUUUGUCAAAGCAGAUUGGAGACAUAAAAGCAGCUGAAAAGUACUUUCAAGACGUAGAGAAAGUAACCCAGAAAUUGGAUGGACUGCAGGGCAAAACCAUGGUUUUGAUGAACAGGUGUGUAUUUCUUUUCUGUGAUCUCCAGCUUUGCUGAGCCGUAACUGCAGCACGGUGCAGGUUUAAGGUGAGAACAAUAAUGACUUGACUUCCAUACAUUGGGACAUUGGGAAGUGAUGCCCACAAAAUAGCGAACACUCAUCACCCCAUACGGAUACAAAAUGAGAGACAGAGCGCACUCUCUCCGCGUUCACGGCAACGCACAGCGGUGUGCAUGUGCAUGCGUGCGUGCGUGCGUGUGUGUGCGUACAUGUGCAUGCGUGCGUGCGUGCGUGUGUGUGCGUACAUGUGCAUGCGUGCGUGCGUGUGUGUGCGUGCGUGUGCGUGUGCGCCCACUGUUCUCAGGAGCACUUGGUAUCUGUUUUCUGUCUUCAUAGAAGUGGCU